AUUGUAGGCUGAAACUCGCCUAUAUGAAGUCGGAAUUGCUAGUAAUCGCGGAUCAGCAUGCCGCGGUGAAUACGUUCCCGGGCCUUGUACACACCGCCCGUCACACCAUGAGAGUCGAUAACACCCGAAGCCUGUAGUCUAACCAUAUGGGGGACGCAGUCGAAGGUGGGAUUGAUAAUUAGGGUGAAGUCGUAACAAGGUAAC
Molecule: ribosomal RNA, 204 nt
Filed under: uncultured bacterium
Lineage: Bacteria
Description: partial 16S ribosomal RNA
Rfam family: Bacterial small subunit ribosomal RNA
Source: RNAcentral